Long non-coding RNA from Nerophis ophidion (straightnose pipefish), 986 nucleotides. RefSeq lists it as uncharacterized. The transcript is spliced from 4 exons. The record is from RefSeq and is a predicted model, not a curated record. NCBI's taxonomy places the organism in Eukaryota, Metazoa, Chordata, Actinopteri, Syngnathiformes, Syngnathidae.
AGGAAGUUAGCUAAGCUACCAGGACAAUAGCAAGUCUAGCAGGAAGUUAUCUUAGUUACCAGGAAGUGAGUACACAAGAUGACUUCCUCUCUAUAAACUUUCAUCUUUUCUUCCUGGUCGUCCAUUUCCACCGCAGUUGAAGUUGCCGACCAUCAGAACAGAAAAGGUGAAUUAAAAAGUUUGUCCUCUCUUCCCUGACAAUCUGGUUUAGGAGGAGAAAGAAUAAACAGGAGCGAGAAGAACUGGCGUCUUGUUGUCUCGGCGUCCUGAGAGAACACAAAAGAGUCUUGUUGGGGAGUAAAAGGAGUGUAAGCACAUCUGCUGGCUUCAAAAGACGCCAUCUUUAAGAGCCUAAGAGCAAACAUUUGCGCUUGGCGAAGGGUUAAAAAGACGGACGGCGGCGAUGAAACACUUCCUCGGGAACAUCUUGAGGCACUCGCUGAUCAUCACCACCUUACAUUACCACCUACGUCCCCCUUUUGGGUGGUGAAGUAGUUACAGAUGUGCGGCCCCCAGUGGAAAAAGUUUGGACACCCCUGCGUUAAAGUGGAAGAAGAAGUCAAGCUCCUGUCACGUGAUCAACGAGCAGAUCCAACCCGCCCGGCUUCUCUACACGUGCAAAAGAAGACAUGUAAGUCCUGCAUAACUUUGUGGAACUCCAUAUUUGACGUUAUAAUUGUGUGUGUGUGUGUGUGUGUGUGUGUGUGUGUGUGUGUGUGUCGUAUUACGCUCACAGGAGUGAAAAUGACGUAAAAUAAACACCAAAAUUAAGACAACCUAAUAAAUCCACGCAAUCUUUUCUACACCGCUUGUCCUCAUUAAGGUCAAUAAAUCAACAUGUUUUAUUAUUUAAGUUCAUUUCAAAAUAAAAGACUCUUGAAAAAGUAAAAAACCCACUUACAUAAUGAAAUUGAAUAAUAAAAAAAAAAUGCAACUAAAAAAAAUUUUUAGAGUGAUUAUCAUGUACUUUUAUGGCGUGUGUAAUA